Molecule: long non-coding RNA, 6702 nt
Organism: Carya illinoinensis
Lineage: Eukaryota; Viridiplantae; Streptophyta; Magnoliopsida; Fagales; Juglandaceae
Exons: 2
Source: RefSeq, a predicted model, not a curated record
UGGGUGGAGAACCCCAUGAGAGAGUGAGGGAGCAUGAGAGAGAUAGAGGGCUUGGCUAGCACAAAGGAGCUCAGGGAGGAGUCAUGGUGGUCAGGGGUGGUACUCGGUGGGGCCGUAAUUGUUGUAUAGUGGCGCUAAGGCCAUCAGUGGUGGUGAAGCCAUAGGAGACCCAUUUUGGGAAAGGGGAAAAAGGGAGAGAAAGAGAGGUUGCCGUGGCUUGGGUUCCAUGGAGGGAGUUCACCGUUAAUAGGGGAGGCCAUGGGUGGCAGUGCAGUGGCCUGGGCGGCCACGACGGUGGUACACAUGUAGAGAAUCCUUGCUUGGAGAGGAAAAGGGAGAGAGAGGGAGAGCUGUCGUGGGGCUUCCCGUGGCUGGUGGUGGCGCCGGAGGCUGCUGGGAGGUGGUGGCGGUGAGGCUAGGUGGUCGGUGGUGGAGCUGGGCUGGAGAGGAGAAGAGAUUCAGUGCAGGGGAGAGGCCUUCCAUACAUGAGCUGAAGGAGAGGGAGGAGAGAGAGGAAAGAGAGAAAAGUGAGGGAAAAAGGCUAAGGAUCGGGUAUUUAAUCCAGGCCUUUCAUCUUGAAGUUUCAAAACGAUCUAACGAUGAUGAUUAAAACACUAAUUUAACUUAAAAGCACUAAGAGGAAUUAAGAUAAAACAUUUAAAAUAUUUGAGAGCAUUAAGACACUAGGCUUGCUUUAGAAAUCACUUAAUUUUAAAAACACGUCAUCGAGGUUUGGCACACAGAACGAGACUUGUGACCAUAAGAGAGAGAGAAAGAAGCGAGAUAUUACAAGAUCAUCAUCCCUGGCCAGUCCAACCAAGAAAGCAACAUGUCCACUAAGCAAGUCAAAAGCCCUAUGAGCAUGUCUGAGGAUCCCCAGAAUCUUGGGACCCCUUAUGAGUCAAAUAAGGCUCUCCAUUGGCCUUCUGGGGAUGUAGAGGAAAAGGUUAGUAAGAAAAGCCAAACAUUCCCUUUUUGUAUGAAAGAAAAUAGUAGGGCAACUAUCAAUAGCAACAUAGCAAAGGUAAACUCUCCCAUUAAGUCAAAACCUUCUAAAUCAUGCCCUCCCACUUGUGAACCUCGAUCAACACCACCUUUACCUACCAAAGGUAACACGGGGAAAAGAAAAGCAAGAGGACAGACUUAACCCUCUCAAACAUUAAUAAUAUCCCAAUUGCCCCUCCUCUACUCAAUAAUGCUAAAAGACCAACAUUUAUGGUCGAGACUCGAUCCAGCACCCAUGGCUUUAAGAAAACAAAAACCAAGCUCACACUUGCAAGGAGUCAAACUCAGGCACAAGUGGUGGAGGCUACUCAGCAGCCCCACCUCUCCAAAUGAAUUGCCUAAGCUGGAAUUGCCGGGGGCUUUGGAAGCCCUGGACAAUUCAUGAACUCCACCUGUUGGUGAAAUCUAAGGUCCCACACUUGGUUUUCCUCAUUAAAACUAAGUGCAACAAUGAUAAAAUGGAGAAAAUUUGAGUCAAACUGGCUUUUGAUUACUGCUUCAGUGUUAAUAGUAGGCGUAGAGGUGCUGGCUUGGCCAUACUUUGGAACUCUUAUGUGGAAGUCAAAGUGUCUGCCUACACCAACUGGCAUAUCUCAGGAUCCAUUAAGCUGUCUAGUGAUGAGACCCCUAGUUGUUAAUAGGAUUUUAUGGCCACACUAAUACUACUAAAAGAGACAAAACUUGGCAUCUCCUUAAAGAAUUAACCCCUGCACAGACUAUCCCUUGGCUGUGCUUUGGGGAUUUCAAUGAGAUCACCAGGAUCCAUCAGACCCUACAAGCAAAUCGUGGAUUUCAGGAAAGCAUUAGAGCAUUGUGAUCUAAAUGACCUUGGCUAUGAAGUAGACAAGUUUACCUGGGCCAACAAUAGAGAGGGAGGACAUUUCACUAAAGAGAGGAUUGACAAAGCUCUUGGUAAUUCUAAUUGGAUAGCUAAGUUUCAGGAACACUCAAUCCAUCACCUGGCAGCAUCCUCCUAAGACCACAAACCCCUUUUUAUUCAAACCCAGAACAAAUUUGCUAGCCACAAAGAAAGAGAGGCCCUUCAGGUAUGAAGCAAAUUGGAGUAGCAAGGACGGGUGUGAGGCCUUGAUUAAACAAACCUGGGACAAUUCCACUAAUGACACUCCCAUUGGCUUAAGAAAUUGUCAAGAUUUAAUAAGAUGGAGUAGAGAUGUGCAUAGAAGUCAUGGGGAGCUUCUAAAGGCUAAAACUAAUAUGCUCAAUUCUCUCAAAGAGACAAAUGUGGGCCAACUAUAUGCUGAAAUUAGAGACCUUUAGAAGGAAGUUGACUCACUACUAGAGGCAGGAAACACCAAGUGGCAACAAAGAGCCAAGCAAAAGUGAAGGGGACAGAAACACAGCUUUCUUCCAUCAAUGUGCUAGCUAAAGAAGAAAGCAAAACACCAUCAACAAGAUCAAAGAUGAGUCUGGUCAUGAGUUCACUAGUCAACAGGACAUAAGUCAAAUUUUUCAGAACUAUUUCCAAACUCUAUUCACUUCCUUGAGCCCCACUGGCAUUGCUGAAUGCAUAUCGUCUAUACCCAAGAAGCUCGCAGCAGAAACAAAUCUCACACUCUCGACCCUUCAAUACAACUGAAGUUAAAAAAGCCCUGUUCAAUAUGAAUCCACUGAGUUCACCUAGCCCAGAUGGAUUCUCUACUGCUUUUUCUCAAGCUAAUUGGUCCAUAGUGGGGACAAGAGUUACCACUGCUAUGAUAGCAGCUCUAAAUGAUGGCAAGUGGUCAAAUGUUCUGAAUGACACCCUCAAUGCCUUGAUCCCCAAAAAACCAUCCCCCUCACAAGUGACUGACUUCAAGCCUAUUAGUCUAUGCAAUAUUUUUUAUAAAAUCAUUGCAAAGACCUUGGCUAAUAGACUGGACCUUGUAUUGCCAGAGCUAAUAUCCCCAACUCAGACAGCCUUUGUCCUUUGUAGGCUCAUAAUAGACAAUAUCAUAGUGGCAUUAGAGUCUCUCCAUACUAUAUGAAGACAAGAAUGAAAGGUAGAGAUGGCUUCAUGACACUCAAACUCGACAUAAGUAAGGCCUCUGACAGGAUAGAGUGGCCUUUUCUGAAAUCUAUUUUGCAGCAAGCUGGUUCUGAUAAAAAAUAAAAAAUAAAACAUAAAAAAUAAAAAAUAAAAAGGUGGACUUGAUAAUGAGGUGGGUAGGGCCAGUUUCCUAUUCUCCCCUUCUUAAUGGACUUCCACAAGAUAGCUUCCAUCCAACAAGAGAGAUGAGGCAAGGGGAUCCUCUAUCCCCCUACCUAUUCACCAUGUGCACAAAAGUGCUUAGCUGCAUGCUCAACAAGGCUAAGGGGUUUGGUUUCAUCACUGGCCUACCCAUUAGAAGAAAUAAACUCUCCAUUAACCACUUAUUUUUUGCACAUGACAGCCUCCUCUUUUGCAAAUCCAACUCUAUAGAAUGGAGUAGACUUUAUCGCUUGCUGGAAUCCUAUGAGCUUGCCUCUGGUCAGAGGCUUAACAAGGAGAAAACUUCAAUAUACUUCAGUAAGAACACAAGAGAGGAAACCAAGGAAAUCAUCACCAACAUAGCAGGGAUAAGGGGCACCAAUUCCUAUGAGAAAUACCUAGGCCUAGCAACUCUCAUAGGGAGGUCUCGACCACAUUCCUUUAAAGCAUUCUGGACAAGGUGUAAGCAAGGAUCACCAACUGGAAGAACAAGUUCCUCUCCCAAGUUGGCAAAGAAAUCCUCAUUAAAGCCAUCAUCCAGACCAUCCCUGUAUUUUCAAAUUACCAAACCAACUGGUCCAGGAACUGAACAAACUAGUAAGGAGCUUCUGGUGGGGGCAGCAACAUUAGGAACACAAAAUUCAUUAGAUACAUUGGAACCAAAUGAAGAAAGCCAAGGUGGCCUGGGACUAAGGGACUUCUCAAACUUUAACUUAGCCCUACUAGUUAAAUAAGGUUGGAGAAUUGUCUUUAAACCUGAAUCUCUUGAUGCACAAGUGCUAAAGGAGAAAUAUUUUCACAACAACUCGUUCCUUUCUGCUAAACUGGGUCAAAAUACAUCAUACCUAUGGCAUAGUUUUUUAGCUGCUAGAUCUCUACUAACUGAGGGAAUGAUCUGGAGAAUUGGAGAUGGGGAAUCCACUGAAAUCUGGAAUGAUAAAUGGCUUCCUAGGUAGACCUCCUUCAACUCUCUCAACUUUAUCAUGUUCUUGCAAGCUGACACCAAAGUCUCUUUCCUCAUCGAUAAAACAACAAACCAAUGGAAAAGGGACCUGGUCUCUACCAUGUUCUUAGAGGAGGAAGCAGACCUUAUCAAAGCAAUACCCCUUAGCCCUUAUCCUAAGCCCGAUAGAUUAAUAUGGAGAUGCACCACCUCAGGAGAAUUCAGUGUUAAGAGUGCCUACCAUCUGCUAACUAAGCUGGAUGAUCAAUAGCUAGGCCAAUCCUCAAACAUAAGCACCUCACAGGCUCCCUAGACAAAACUAUGGAACCUAAACAUUCCAAAUGAAGCUAAAACAUUUAUCUAGAGGGCUUGCCUUAAUGGCCUACCUACCCGAGUCAACCUAAUGAAGAGGAAGGUCAUCGAGGACCCUGCUUGCCCAAUUUGUAAGCUGCAACCAAAAUCUGUUGAACACAUUCUAUGGAAUUGCCCCACAACUAGGGAUGUUUGGGCCGAGAGCACAGAGAAAUUACAUAAAGCUAGCCCUCUCUACCAUCCUUUCAAAGAUCUUGUAGAAGGUUUUGUGGAGACUUUGGCACCUGAGGAACUGAUGUCCUUUGCUAUCACUUUGUGGCUCAUAUAGAAAAGGAGGAAUGACAUGGUUUUCAAGGAGCUCUUUCUACACCUAACCAAGGUAAUCUACUUACUUGAUGGAGGAGCUACAGCAUAUCACUCAGUAGAAGAGGGCUCAUGCAACCAAUAGUCAGCAGCACACAAAGUGGGAAGCCCCACCUCAGGGAAGGUUAAAGCUGAAUUAGGAUGCAGCACUCGAUAAAGCUUCUUACAAAGUGGGAGUGGGAGCAGUUAUUAGAGAUUGGGAGGGAUAAGUGUUAGCCACCCUCAGAAUGCAACAUGAUUUGUACCCUGAUCCCCUUAUGGCAGAAGCUUAUGCUACAUUUCAAGCAUCCUCAUUUUGCAAGUCCAUCAACUACUGAGACAUCAUCAUGGAAGUUGACUCUCUGCGGGUUGUAUCAGGCCUCAACUCAUCAACAAAUAACCAAACCUAUGUAGGCUAGCAAAUAGCAGACACAAGAUCAACCCUCAACUCUUUUACUUUUUGGUCAGCAAGGCACACUGUGAGAGCAAACAAUUAUGUUGCUCAUGCCUCAAGCAAGGAUGCUCUAAGCAUCAGUGGUUAUACCACUUCUUUUGAUUUCAUUCCUCAUUGUAUCCAAACUUUGGUCUAAUUAUUCUCAAUACAGGAUACGUUUUCUUCAAAAAAAUAAAAGAUGAAAGAAGAUUCUAUGAGUUGUAAUGUUGGUACAACCUAUGGGAUUGGUUGUGACUCUUCUUCUAUUUCAGUGGAUGUGGAGGAGUAUGGUAGUCUUCCAACUCCUUUAUCCACAUGUACACAACACCCUACCCACUAUAUCCCACCUUUACCCAAGAAAUCCAUAAAAACACAUAACAAUCAAUCGGUGGCAUGGGAACACUUUACUAAAGUGGAACUUAUUGACCUUUAUCACUAGAACCAUGGGCUAACAUGAAAAGUAAGUAUGACAAGUAUUGGGGUGGUACAUAUAGGUUUGACUUGAUAAUAUAUGUUGUUUUUGGGCUUGAUCCACAACACAAAAUGAUGGCAAUGAAGUUUUGGUUGAAAAAGUAUAAAGGGGAUGAGUUGGCAAAUAGGAUAAAGGCCAAGGUUAAACUUCUUUUACGCCGCUUGAGCAAUACAACACAUUUCAUGUGACUAGUGGGGGGAUUUCUAAUGUGGCUCAAGGGAGGCCAAUCACUACUUCUACAAACAUUGGUAAUGAGCCAGCACCAUCUCUACCUAAAUUUGAUAUCAUGUUAGAUAAAUACCCUGAGGAGUAAGGUUUUAUAGAGUUUAGAUCAAAGCUAGAUAGGUAUUUUUCAGAGGCGUGUGCACAAAAAUCACCCGGUUUUGAUAUUUGGGAUUGGUGGAGGAUUAAUGCUACCAAUUAUCCUAUCAUUGCCAAGGUAGCACAUGAUGUGUUAGCCACCCUAUUUUCACUAUUACCUCAGAGCCCGCAUUCAGUACUGGAGGACACAUCUUGGAUCUUUUUAGGAGUUCAUUGUCUCCAGAGAUUGUCGAAGCCCUCAUUUGCACCCAAAAUUAGUUAAGGACCAAACCAGUUGACAUUCGGGAGUUGGAAGAAUACAUACAAUCGAUUGACCUUGAAGCUUUCAGUUUGGGUGGCUGCAGAGAACAGACUUGAAGUUGCUAUUUGGUGUGAGAUUAAGGGGAGAGGUUUGGAAAGUGAGUUGAAAUGAGAUGAACUGAGAUCAAAGUUGAAUAAACUAUUAUUAUAAUAUUAUUUUUUAAUAUUAAUAUUGUUUCAAGAUUUAAAAAAGUUAUAAUGAUUAGAUAAGAUGAGUUGAGAUGAGUUGGCGGGACUUUUGUAUCCAAACCGAAAAAUCAUAGAUGGGAGAUCAUGUUACUGAUAUGUAACUCAUAUCUUAUAAUUUUGUGUUUUGUAAUGUAAAGUAUAAAUACAAAAUAAUGUGAUAUGUAGUGCAUUGCAUUGCGUGUUGCAUGCAUUUAACA